RNAcentral lists this small RNA (1220 nucleotides) under Vigna angularis var. angularis. RNAcentral describes it as "Non-protein coding transcript". Lineage: Eukaryota; Viridiplantae; Streptophyta; Magnoliopsida; Fabales; Fabaceae. The record is from RNAcentral.
AUAAUCAGUAAGAAUAGCUUGUAUCACAGUCAACUUGGAUCUUCUAGAAUUCUAAGGACCAGAAAUCGCCUCUAAUGCCUUCCUAAGCCAUUCAAGCCCACCUAUUAAUAGUUUCAACAGAGCCCCAGAAAUAGAGGAAUGAGAAAGACCUUCCGCAACCUCCAAAACGUCCUACAUGAUUAGCAAUCAUCUCUAAUCAACAACAAAGGAAAUUCAACAAGAUUAAUUAUUAGCAAGCCCCAUUAAAAAGGCCAUGUUCUUUAUCCCAAACAGUUGGCAAACACCUGCUCUUAUAUCCCAAAUCAACUUGUAUUAAUGCCCAUGAAAAGAAAAGGUUAAAAGAUUGACAAAGACGGUGAAUAAAAUUAUUAAGCAAUGAACCUUGUAAAAGAAAAACCAUAUUGCAGUCAGCAGUAACACACUAAAAGUUCCAUGUAUAGUUGAAUAGGAAUAAGAAAAUAAUCAAAUAUGAUACGAACUUUGUAAGGCAUCCAGAUGAAUGACUCAAAAUAAAGUGUCAAGAGAUCAAGUUAAUACCAUGUUCUUAAUAACCAGUCAAAAAUAAACCAAAUUUGGUGGACAGUUAUCUCCAAACAAGUAUCCGAGCGAUGAAUGACCACCGGGAACCGCUUUGACUUUUGUCGAUGGACGAUCCUAUAAUAUAUAUAGGAGAAAAACUAUAUUAACGAAAAACCUAUAAUUAAGAUGAUCAUGAAGGUUAAUAAAAUGGGAGAUUAUCUUAGAGUCUUGGAUCCUUUUUGGGGAAGACGAACCAGUUAAGAAUAAAACCAAUUACACAGAUGUUAAACUAUGUUGACCACUAUUCAUAACUUGAUUUAUUACCGCGCUUAUUUUUGUAGUGAGUUACUUGCAUCCAGAAGCUCCAGUCCCCAGUCCCCAGUCCCCAGCAUGCAAGAAUAAGUGAAAAGAUUGGAAAAAGAUUGGAAAAAGAUUGAAAAAAGAUUGAAAACUAGGUGAAAAAAGGAAAAAUUAAGUGAAAGAAAGAGAAAGAUCGAGAAAAGAAAGUGAAUUUGAUUAUACAUGGGCAUCACGCCGCGGCGGCCGCGGCGGCAGACGGCAGCACAAACUAGAUUUUAUUUUGGUAGGUUCAUUAUUCAUAUAGUCACUAUUUAUACAAAAACAUACAAAGCGGCAGCGGCGGCGACAGCGGCAGCGGCAAUUAAUGAUGACUCUACCAAUUAGGUCGCAUCUACGAUUGC